Aethalodelphis obliquidens (Pacific white-sided dolphin) is the source of this 102-nucleotide small nuclear RNA. Lineage: Eukaryota; Metazoa; Chordata; Mammalia; Artiodactyla; Delphinidae. The record is from RefSeq and is a predicted model, not a curated record.
GUGCUUCGACAGCACAGAUACUAACAUUGGAAUGGUACAGAGAAGAUCAGCAUGGCCCCUGAGCAAGGAUGACAUGCAAUUCGUGAAGCAUUCUAUAUUUUU